Long non-coding RNA from Ictalurus punctatus (channel catfish), 5009 nucleotides. Lineage: Eukaryota; Metazoa; Chordata; Actinopteri; Siluriformes; Ictaluridae. The record is from Ensembl.
UUCUUCUUCUUCUUCUUCUUCUUUUGUUUUUGGUCAUUUUCAUGGGCGCCAAUAUUUUGGAGUAGCAUACGUAUGUAGCAUAUAAGCAAUAUAGUGUUGUCUCUGGACUUCACCCCACAUUUUGGCACAAAAAAAAAUAAGACAUUAUAGAUGUGUAUAUAUAUAUAUAUAUCAAUGGAUGGACGGACGGAUGGGCAGACAGACAGAUAAAUGGAUGGACAGAGAUAGACAGACCGACAGGUAGAUAGAUAGAAAGAUGGACGGACAGACAGACAGACAGACAGACAGACAGACAGAUAAAUGGAUGCACAGACAGAUAGACAUAUAGAUAGAUAGAUAGAUAGAUAGAUAGAUAGAUAGAUAGAACAACUGAUAGAUAAUUAUAUUGAUAGACAGACAGACCGACAGAUAGAUAGAUAGAUAGAUAGAACAAUUGAUGGAUAAUUAUAUUGGUAGACAUACAGACUGACAGAUAGAUAGAAAGAUGGACAGACAGAUAGACAGACAUAUAAAUAAAUAAAUAAAUAAAUAAAUAAAUAGAUAGAUAGAACAAUUGAUGGAUAAUUGUAUUGAUAGAUAGACAGGUAAACAAACAAACAAAUAAAUAAAACAACUGACAGAUUAUAUAUAGAUAAAUAAAAGAUAGAUAGAUAGAUAGAUAGAUAGAUGAACUGAUAAAUAAAUGAAUAAAUAAAUAUAGGCAGAUAAAUAAAUAAAUAAAUAAAACAAUUGAUAGAUGGCUAGAUCAUAGAUGAAUGGAUGGAUAAAUAAAUCAAUAGAUAGACAGACUGACAGAUAGAUAGAUAGAAAGAUGGACAGACAGACAGACAGACAUAAAUAAAUAAAUAGAUAGAACAAAAAUAGAUAGAACACUAAAUAAAUAGAUAAAUAAAUAGAUGCACGAACGGAUAAUGAAACAAUGCUUCGUUAACGACGCCGGUCACUCUGCACGAUGCGAGCACGUAUGCUAGCUAUUCACGCUAACAUUGUUUCCGUGUGUAAGGUGAAGAGGGUGUUAUCUUUUGAAGGACGUGUUUACAGCAGGCAGGAAGUGUCUCAGGGAGGGAAAUUAAAAUUCGAGGGGGUUCCUGUUCAUCUCUUCAUGUUAGCGCUGAGCUACACGAGCACAUCCUGCUGCUUCGCUUUUGUAGCAGUCAACCUCCACCAAACAGCCACUAGCGUUUGAACUCGUGGAUUUUACACCUCCACAAUCUUCCUGAUCCAAAGUUGCACAACGGGGGACCUUUUGUUUUCGUCUCCGCGGCUGGGUGAAGCGCACAAAUAUUUCCUCUCAGGUUUAGAUCCCGAAUGAAUUAGAAGCACCGCUCGUGUCUUAAUACGCGUACGUUAAUGAAUCCUGGUUUUCAGCUUGUCUUUGCACCUCUUCACGCUCUUUCUCCAGCAGCCAGCAGAAUAGCAACAGCAUUAAUAGAAACUGUAUUGACAUGUUAACGAGUUAAAGCGUAAUUAAUGUGUGCAUGUGCACACAACCGAAAGCAUCAAUGCCACAUAAUGCUAAUGCCUGAAGCGUGACGUCGCUAAAAAUAUAACCUUUUUUUUUUUUUUUUUUUUUUUCUCACUGGAGCGGCUGUGGUUUUUACUCCACUUUCGUUCCUAUAGCGAUGCAGCUAAUUAUCCUGAUCAACAAGCACACAAAUAUAUCAUUAUUAUCAUUAUAUUUUGAUAUAUAGACUUUUAUUCCUCUUUUACCACAGCAAUUUGCCAGAAAUUAAUCAUUUUAUUAAGCAAAUGAUGUCACAUCCUGUUUUUUUUUUUUUUUUUUGAUGUUCCAUGUAAAAAAAAAUUAGUCCCUGUUUUCACUUACGUUAUAGCAGCUAUAAACAGUUGUCCCCUCCCCGGCCUCUCUUCUUUCUCGAUCUGGAAGGUAAUCUCAUGUUACUGAGAGACCGUGACGCGUACUGUAAACUCGUCUGUCCCGAAGAUGGCGCAAAAGUGUAAAGUUAACACUGUAGACUCCUUCCAUAAAUGUUAAAUAAACAUCUCCUUACAGAAAUGUACUACGAGUAGUCGUAAAGAGACUUCGAGUAUGGAGAGAUCGGUUCUGCGAGAGAUCGGAUCGUUGCUCAUGCGCUGAUAUUCUGAGAGUCUCGGAAGGAAAGAUAAAUCCUCGAGAUUUCGGCAUCGCUACUUCUAUCUGCUCAAAAGCAACGGCGAACUGUUAACUAUUUGUGUCCCUGAUGGAGGUGGAGACGAUGAUCGUUAUCCAGGGGAGUCGCGGACACCGGCGUAAUCACCGCGCCGGAACCCGUCCGGCUCUCUGAAGCGCCCAGGGGUAUCGCGGGAUGGUGCGACGAGAACGAGAAAGAAAUAACACGCUCCGAUUUCAUCACGAAGCUCCGAUUUCAUCACAGUCGCAGCGGUUUCUUCCUUUUUAUUAUUCGUCGAAUCACAAGGAGCCAUCGGUACAGCAUCGGUCUGACUCGGAUGAGUUCCAGAGGUUCAGUUGCGCUCGUAGUGAAGACGUUUGUUGUGUUGGAACUUCAGUGUUAGGCGCUAAUCAGCGUUUUUUUUUUUUUUUUUUUUUUUUUUUACCGUCACGUAAAGAUUAAUGGCUGGAUAUUGUGUAAAUUCUAUAUGAAAUAAUAAAUGAAGAAAAGCUGAAAUGCAACGGGGAGUUUGUUUACGGUCGAUGUCGCACUACUAGCAGGCAGGUGUAUGUUUAUAGCUAUAACUGGAAGCUAUGUUAAAACUUCCCUGCUGAAAAAAAAACAAAAAAAACAAUAGAAACCAUUUUAGAAUUUGUAAUGGUUUUAUAAUGGGAAUUGUAUUGGUUUUAAUGGAAACUGUAAUGGCCGCUGUGGGUAUCUACUGGUAAUUUUGUUGACUUCUACUGGUUUUAUGUUAUAUCUAGUGUAUACCAUUAAGAACCAGUAAUGGUAAGGGUUUUAAUGGUUAGCUGAUGGUUUGUAAUAGUAUCUGUAGUGGAAACCAUUAGAAUUUUUUUGCGAUGGGUCCGAUUUUUUUUUUUUUUUUUAGCAGGCAUUUUAUGUGAUCAGUGCAAGCCGGGCGAGUUAGUUCGCCGGUACGAGCUAGGAAAUCGGAGUGUCGCUAUGGUUACGGUGUGCACAUUGCACGAGCUGCAUUUUUCCCAACGCAAAAAGCCCUCCAAUUUGAGUCCAACGUGAAAGCAGCAGAACUGCCGUACAUACGAAUUAAAGGUGUGUAAAUGUCAUCUUUUGGCUUGACUGGCUCUUCAAGAGCCGGUGGUCUUUCAUGUCAGUGCUAGAAUUCAAAGUAGAGCGCUAGUCUUGUUUCUGUCCUACAUACAGGCAUCCAGACGUUUGCUUUGGCAAAUCCGACGGUGUGACGCGUCCGACUCGAAUGAAAACGUCCCCGCGAUCUCUGCACAUUUCACCAGGCAGCAGUGAGUGUGUAAAUGUAGGGUGUACAAGUGUGUUGAGUCUUUCGCAACGCUUCGUCUACGAGCAACCGAGAGCGGCGCACGGGCUUAUACGGCCAUCUGCUUCCUGUCCCUGCGGAUCUCUGAGAUUUAUGGAACCCCGCCGUUUCCCAUCAUCUCCUGCUCCGUCAUGCAAAAUCACACGUCGGUAUGGAUCGUCUCUUCAUCCGAGUCCUGCGAUCGAGAGUUUCGGUUUGGAGACACUCGGAAGAGACAGGAAGUGGUGGAUGAACAGAACGACGGGGAGGAAAUGAGGUCAGCGCUGCUUUUCAGGAGAGGAGAGUAACACGGGCACAUAAUGGAGCAGCAGCAGCCGUGGGAUGGAAACUCCGCUCCUCGGGGUGCCUCAGGUCCUGUCUCCUGAGACGCAUGCAUCUGCUCCGCUUCCUCCAUCAACAUCGACUGCGUGUGUGUGUGUGUGUGUGUAAGGCGGGCGGCAACAACAAAUGCGCCUGAAAGCCAAACUCUCAGUACUAGCACGUACUAAAUAAUGUAAAAAUGCUGAGCAAACAUUUGUUUCUAGGCCAGCAGUAUGAUGCAUAGCAUGGUGCCGCAAACCGGGUUACGAAUUUAAAACGGCUUGUGGUGAGGAUGAAAGCAAGUGGCGUCUUAUUACGAAGUUCUUCAGACGACUCGUCUACAGAUCUAGGGCAAGGAUCGCCGAACUACGGCCCACUAGCUAGCUUUAACCAGACGUCACGGGCAGUGGUGGCUUAGCGGUUAAGGCUCUGGGUUUCUGAUUGGACGGUCGGGUGUUUAAGCCCCAGCACUGCCGACCUGCUACCGUUGGGCCCUUGAGCGAGGCCCUUAACCCUUUCCGCUCCAGAGACGCUGGGAACAUUUUCCUCCCAACCAACUGCAAAAUAAUUUACCAAACCGUGCUAACUAUUUUACAGCUUAGCAACGUGUUCAGUGUGUUUCCUAAUCCACAGCCCUGCCGUAAAUCUGUAAACCGGCAAACGCACGAUUCCGAUCGGUCAGAAGGUAUCGUUUACUUUGCUAUUAAGAGCAUGUCCGUAUCAAAGCGCUCGUCUUAAUACGUUUAUACAGCGACUUCCCACAGAAACGGAUUAAAAAAAAAUGCUGGUCAUCGUUGAAAUGGCGAAGUUUUCCACCAUUAGGAGAGGUUUAUUCGGUGAGAACAGGAAGUGACUGCUUUAAAUGUAACCAUAAAUGGAUAAAAAAAAAAAAAAAGUUAUCAUAUGUUGUGCUUUAAGGAAUUAAACAAGAUUUUUUUUUGGAUAGUUUUAUCUUCAUAAAUUGUAGGGGUGCAUUGUAGGGGUCUGUGUUAAACAUUUAGUGGAAUCUCAGGAAGGAUACACCUAAAAUACUCUUAAAGGUUCUAGAUUUACUGUGUUUUUUUGUUUUUAAAGGCUAUAUGCAAAAUUUCUUACUUUUCUAGUUUCCACUUUCACAAAAAGGUUUCAAGUAGAACUCCUUUCCGAAAUCUAGAACUCUUAGGCACUUCAGGAACCCUCGAGGAACCGUUGAGGAACCAUUUACUUUUUAUGUAGCUCAAGGCUGAAAUAAUAAUAAUAAUAAUAAUAAUAAUAAUAAUAAUAAUAAGCAUGUUCCACAUAUCAAAAAA